AGUUUUGAGCUAAAUAUAUUAUAAUAUUAGUUAUUUAUAAAGGUGUUGUAAAACCUUAUUAAAAAUUAUAUUUAGGGGUGAUAGGCCUUUCAAAAACUAAGAUAUCUUGAAUCUAAUUAAAAGUAUGUAGUACAUUCGACACAACUAUUAAGUGAUUAGGCUUUAUAGAAUUAUUAACUUAUAAAGAUUUUAUUUACUAUGAUUUAAUAAUUAAGUAUGUAAAUAUAUUAAUAUAUAUAUAUUAUAAUUUAUAAAAAGUAAUUAGAUAAAUUAAAGUUCAUAAAUUUUGUAAUAAUGUUAAUAUUAGUAUUAAGUUUAUAUUUAUACGAUGAACUCGGCAAAAAUGCUUCUCAACUGUUUAUCAAAAACAUAACUAUGUGAAUUAAUACAUAGCGGUUUCUGCUCAA
Molecule: ribosomal RNA, 407 nt
Filed under: Mandarina ponderosa
Lineage: Eukaryota; Metazoa; Mollusca; Gastropoda; Stylommatophora; Camaenidae
Description: partial 16S ribosomal RNA
Source: RNAcentral